Vollenhovia emeryi is the source of this 198-nucleotide long non-coding RNA. RefSeq lists it as uncharacterized. The record is from RefSeq and is a predicted model, not a curated record. NCBI's taxonomy places the organism in Eukaryota, Metazoa, Arthropoda, Insecta, Hymenoptera, Formicidae. The transcript is spliced from 3 exons.
AGAGAUUGCAGGGUGGAGCGUGGUGGGGAGAGUUAAAAUCGUGCAUGUAUUUGUGCGCUGUUGCCGGUCUCGUCUGCUUCCACACACUACAUAGCCGCCGGUGCGUGUACGUGUGGGUCCCGUCAAACGGAGGCGCCAUCUAGCGGAGCAUUAGUAAAUUAGAGUCCAGCGACCAAUUUGGCCGUGUUUCUCGAACAU